GCGCUGCUAUCAUGCAGUCGAGCGACUGAUUAGAAGCUUGCUUCUAUGACGUUAGCGGCGGACGGGUGAGUAACACGUGGGCAACCUGCCUGUAAGACUGGGAUAACUUCGGGAAACCGAAGCUAAUACCGGAUAGGAUCUUCUCCUUCAUGGGAGAUGAUUAAAAGAUGGUUUCGGCUAUCACUUACAGAUGGGCCCGCGGUGCAUUAGCUAGUUGGUGAGGUAACGGCUCACCAAGGCAACGAUGCAUAGCCGACCUGAGAGGGUGAUCGGCCACACUGGGACUGAGACACGGCCCAGACUCCUACGGGAGGCAGCAGUAGGGAAUCUUCCGCAAUGGACGAAAGUCUGACGGAGCAACGCCGCGUGAGUGAUGAAGGCUUUCGGGUCGUAAAACUCUGUUGUUAGGGAAGAACAAGUACGAGAGUAACUGCUCGUACCUUGACGGUACCUAACCAGAAAGCCACGGCUAACUACGUGCCAGCAGCCGCGGUAAUACGUAGGUGGCAAGCGUUAUCCGGAAUUAUUGGGCGUAAAGCGCGCGCAGGCGGUUUCUUAAGUCUGAUGUGAAAGCCCACGGCUCAACCGUGGAGGGUCAUUGGAAACUGGGGAACUUGAGUGCAGAAGAGAAAAGCGGAAUUCCACGUGUAGCGGUGAAAUGCGUAGAGAUGUGGAGGAACACCAGUGGCGAAGGCGGCUUUUUGGUCUGUAACUGACGCUGAGGCGCGAAAGCGUGGGGAGCAAACAGGAUUAGAUACCCUGGUAGUCCACGCCGUAAACGAUGAGUGCUAAGUGUUAGAGGGUUUCCGCCCUUUAGUGCUGCAGUUAACGCAUUAAGCACUCCGCCUGG
This 850-nucleotide ribosomal RNA is filed under the name uncultured bacterium. RNAcentral's name for it is "bacterial SSU rRNA". It matches the Rfam family "Bacterial small subunit ribosomal RNA", at positions 44 to 876 of the family's 1533-position model. The record is from RNAcentral.